This 253-nucleotide ribosomal RNA is filed under the name uncultured bacterium. Its description in RNAcentral is "partial 16S ribosomal RNA". It matches the Rfam family "Bacterial small subunit ribosomal RNA", at positions 524 to 776 of the family's 1533-position model. The record is from RNAcentral.
UACGUAGGUGGCAAGCGUUGUCCGGAAUUAUUGGGCGUAAAGCGCGCGCAGGCGGUCCUUUAAGUCUGAUGUGAAAGCCCACGGCUCAACCGUGGAGGGUCAUUGGAAACUGGGGGACUUGAGUGCAGAAGAGGAAAGUGGAAUUCCAAGUGUAGCGGUGAAAUGCGUAGAGAUUUGGAGGAACACCAGUGGCGAAGGCGACUUUCUGGUCUGUAACUGACACUGAGGCGCGAAAGCGUGGGGAGCGAACAGG